Molecule: unclassified non-coding RNA, 25 nt
Filed under: Mus musculus (house mouse)
Lineage: Eukaryota; Metazoa; Chordata; Mammalia; Rodentia; Muridae
Description: oocyte_clustered_small_RNA13722
Source: RNAcentral
UAAGAGCGUGGGAGAAAUUGGGACC